UACGGAGGAGGCAAGCGUUAUCCGGAAUUACUGGGCGUAAAGAGUUGCGUAGGUGGCAAAGUGUGUCAGUAGUGAAAGCGUGUGGCUCAACCACAUAUACAUUACUGAAACUGCUUAGCUAGAGGACGAGAGAGGUACCUGGAAUUCCCAGUGUAGGAGUGAAAUCCGUAGAUAUUGGGAGGAACACCGAUGGCGUAGGCAGGGUACUGGCUCGUUCCUGACACUAAGGCACGAAAGCGUGGGGAGCAAACGGG
This 254-nucleotide ribosomal RNA is filed under the name uncultured bacterium. RNAcentral's name for it is "partial 16S ribosomal RNA". It matches the Rfam family "Bacterial small subunit ribosomal RNA", at positions 524 to 776 of the family's 1533-position model. The record is from RNAcentral.